RNAcentral lists this ribosomal RNA (201 nucleotides) under uncultured Glomus. RNAcentral describes it as "partial small subunit ribosomal RNA". It matches the Rfam family "Eukaryotic small subunit ribosomal RNA", at positions 583 to 789 of the family's 1831-position model. The record is from RNAcentral. RNAcentral also lists the same sequence under 1 other name. Lineage: Eukaryota; Fungi; Glomeromycota; Glomeromycetes; Glomerales; Glomeraceae.
AUUCAGCUCAUAGCGUAUAUUAAAGUUGUUGCAGUUAAAAAGCUCGUAGUUGAAUUUCGGGAUUAGUACGUCGGUCGUGCCUUAGGUACGAACUGGUGUUACUGUUUCCUUCUUUUUGACUAGCGAACAUGUCAUUAAUUUGGUGUGUGGUGAAAUCAGGACUGUUACUUUGAAAAAAAAAAUUGGGUAAAGCAGGAACCA